GAAUUUAGCUUUUUCAUUUUUCGCAUAAGAUUUUUGUGAGUUUUACAUAUUUGUUACAUUCUUGAAAUCAAGAAAUAAUUUCAAUAUUCCCAUGUGAAAAUCCUUGUAGCUAUGAGGAGUAAAGGGUCACCACCAUAAUUUUUUGGAUCGUUUUUGUGUUUAAAACAUUUAAAUAAAUAUGAAGUGCCAUAGUUUGAAAUACUGUUAGAAUACUUAGUGCUGUUGUAAUAUUCAGUAUGUGCCAUUAUACAUUUAUGUAAACAAUCGAUCUCAGAUAUUUUUUUAUUGAAUUGGUGCCUUGUAACACAUGAAUCUCUUUAUUCAAUAUUUUUACACUUUAUUUUGAGUUUAUAUUUCAAUAAAAUUAUGAUA
Molecule: long non-coding RNA, 372 nt
Filed under: Mytilus galloprovincialis (Mediterranean mussel)
Lineage: Eukaryota; Metazoa; Mollusca; Bivalvia; Mytilida; Mytilidae
Source: RNAcentral